AAAUAGAGAGGUUACACAGCAGAGAGCUACAGCAGCUACUGUGGUGAUAGCUCAAUAUACGGUAACAGAGUCUAAUAACAUAACAGAUCUGCUCUGUCACUGCGUCACAGGAUUCCAGACUUUAUACGGAAGGUCACGCCCACUAGGAUGCGCUCACCAUCGCCAUUUAUCCUGACACUCGGGAUCCUCCUCAGUAUCUACCAUCUGUCCACAUGUCAGGACUGGGGAGCCUUUCAAGCAAGACACAUUAUUAGAAGAACGGACUUCAAAUGUGAGGCUUUGAUGUAUCGGUUCAAUAAGAGAAACCAACCGGAAUGCGAAAGGGUUAACACCUUCAUCUAUACAUUAGAUCCCACCACCAUUUCGACGAUGUGCACUGGUUAUGGCCAUGUGACUAUAUCAACUAACACAGCCUUCACCCUCAUUGAAUGCUUUAGAAGGUACAAGCGUAAGCGACCAUGUGAAUAUCGUAGGCGGAUGCUAAACGAUGUGGUGUGUAUAACAUGCCAGAAUGAUUACCCUGUACACGUUCAGAAUAUAGGCCCAUGCCUGUAAUCUAAACGCAAAGUUUCUUCAGUGUCCCGCAACAUUGUAGAGCAGAGGAGGAAAGGUCUCCGUCUUCUGCAUAUCUCAGAGUAACAUUCAGGCCGUCCUCUGCACAAUGCACAGCAAUCAACCCUUCUUUAUACAGCACAUUCUCUGCUCCAUAACAUAUAACAAAAGGCAAGCCCACUUCUGUAUAUGAUGCAGAAGUUGUGAUGUCACUGCUACAAAUACGUGACAGAAUGCUUCAUGUAACCAGUUGUAUAACGAGCAUUGCUUAUCUAGCUUAUUCUACUAAUAAUAAAUAUUCAAACUAAUUAAACCUGCAA
Pseudophryne corroboree (corroboree frog) is the source of this 872-nucleotide long non-coding RNA. RefSeq lists it as uncharacterized. NCBI's taxonomy places the organism in Eukaryota, Metazoa, Chordata, Amphibia, Anura, Myobatrachidae. The transcript is spliced from 3 exons. The record is from RefSeq and is a predicted model, not a curated record.